AGAGUUUGAUCCUGGCUCAGAACGAACGCUGGCGGCGUGCUUAACACAUGCAAGUCGAACGAGAAAGUCACCUUCGGGUGGCGAGUAAAGUGGCAAACGGGUGAGUAACACGUAAGCAACCUACCCAUAAGUUUGGGACAACACUGCUAACGCGGUGCUAAUACCGGAUGUGAACAAUUUUUCGCAUGAUUAAUUGUUUAAAGACUUCGGUCGCUUAUGGAUGGGCUUGCGGACCAUUAGCUUGUUGGUGGGGUAACGGCCUACCAAGGCUUCGAUGGUUAGCCGACCUGAGAGGGUGAUCGGCCACAUUGGGACUGAGAUACGGCCCAGACUCCUACGGGAGGCAGCAGUAGGGAAUUUUGCGCAAUGGACGAAAGUCUGACGCAGCAACGCCGCGUGAGCGAUGAAUGUCUUCGGAUUGUAAAGCUCUGUUGAGUGGGAAGAAAAGCUUCGGUAUGACGGUACCACUCGAGGAAGCCCCGGCUAAUUACGUGCCAGCAGCCGGUAAUACGUAAGGGGCAAGCGUUGUUCGGAACACUGGGCGUAAAGGGAGCGCAGGCGGAUAAGUAAGUUAGGAGUUAAAGACGGCGGCUCAACCGUCGACCUGCUCUUAAUACUGCUUGUCUUGAGUACAGAAGAGGAAGACGGAAUUCCAGGUGUAGCGGUGGAAUGCGUAGAUAUCCGGAAGAACACCAGUUGCGUAGGCGGUCUUCUGGUCUGAUACUGACGCUCAUGCUCGAAAGCUAGGGGAGCAAACAGGAUUAGAUACCCUGGUAGUCCUAGCCGUAAACGAUGGACACUAGUUGUCGGAGGAGUCAAUCCUUUCGGCGACGAAGCUAACGCAUUAAGUGUCCCGCCUGGGGAGUACGCUCGCAAGGGUGAAACUCAAAGGAAUUGACGGGGGCCCGCACAAGCGGUGGAGCAUGUGCUUUAAUUCGAUGCAACGCGAAGAACCUUACCUGGGUUUGACAUGGGGGUGCAACUCUUUGGAGACAGAGAGCCUUCCCUCGGGAACACCCUACACAGGUGCUGCAUGGUUGUCGUCAGCUCGUGUCGUGAGAUGUUGGGUUAAGUCCCGCAACGAGCGCAACCCUCGCCCUUAGUUGCCAUCAGGUCAAGCUGGGAACUCUAGGGGGACUGCUUGGUAUAACCAGGAGGAAGGUGGGGAUGACGUCAAAUCAUCAUGGCCCUUACGCCCAGGGCUAGACACGUGCUACAAUGGCCAGUACAGCGGGAUGCUACACUGCAAGGUGACGCUAAUCCCUUAAAACUGGUCUCAGUUCGGAUUGGAGUCUGCAACUCGACUCCAUGAAGGUGGAAUCGCUAGUAAUCGCGGAUCAGCAUGCCGCGGUGAAUACGUUCCCGGGCCUUGUACACACCGCCCGUCAAGCCAUGAAAGACGGUAGUGCCCAACGUCGUUCCUCUAACCGCAAGGAAGAGUGCGCCUAAGGUAAGACCGUUGAUUGGGGCUAAGUCGUAACAAGGUA
Molecule: ribosomal RNA, 1487 nt
Filed under: metagenome
Description: bacterial SSU rRNA
Rfam family: Bacterial small subunit ribosomal RNA
Source: RNAcentral